RNAcentral lists this long non-coding RNA (739 nucleotides) under Pandoravirus salinus. RNAcentral describes it as "putative ncRNA". The record is from RNAcentral.
CCGUCUCUCUUGGCCAUCGGAUCCUCGGGUCCUCGGUCCGAUUUUCUUUUGUCGCCCUCCUGUGGUCGACCCCCUUUCAAAAAUCCUCAUUGGUCGGCCCUCUUUGUCGCCAAAAAAAGUCCUCCUAAAAUCAAAAAAAAAGAAAUCUGGAAAAAAAAGAGGGCGUCUCUUGUGCGCACAAGGCGCCCUUUUUCUUGCCUGCAAAAAAAGGUGGGACGUGCCCAAGUUGGCGGUGCCGCGCAAAAAAGGACGACAAAAAGGCCUGUGGCGACGACGCCGACGACGACGUCGACGCCGACGACGACGUCGACGACGACGACGACGACAGUGAAAAGAGACGGUCCAGGCCAUUGCGAGCGACGACGACCCCGGACACAAUUGGGGGCGAGAAGAAAGGCGAGCCUCGGCACUUGCCGUCUUUUUUUUUCCUCUGACGAUGGUCGCGACCACGCGCACAGCAUGCCCGACAAGCCCUCAAGCACGACUAGACGGCGUGCCGGCCUCGUUGCCAAAGGCCAACCCGAAAGCGCACAAACACCUGGCCGCUUGCUGGCGACGACCGACACUAUGCACACCGGUCGAUCCAUCAAGACAAAGAGAAAGAGGACACGUCAACCGACCGGUCGACCGUCACGACAUGAAGGAGCAGCAUGCCGGUGACGCCGACGGCGACCGCCAAAGAGGCGAAAGAAAAACAGACAAGAAAGCGACACAUAAUAAUAAUAAUAAAAGAAAUGCG